GAUCGCUACUGUACAGUCAAUGGCUGCAUGGCGGCGAUGAGCAUUGGAACUUGGAAGUGGAUGCAUGUGCAACUUGAUGUGUCGUUGCAUAUGGGAGGCCCGUUGGUAAUGGUAAGCGUAUUAAUAAAUUAGGCAGUAGUAUGUCCUUCAACAAUCUGUUAUGUCCAACCAUGGAAUGAGUCGCAUGCGACUAAGUUAACCAAACAGGGCAACAACAAUUAGUCAGCAAUGGAAUUAGUCAGUGGAAAACAACACAUUCAUUCCCGAGGAUGGCUUUGAGUUUAUCUAUGCUUAUUCAUGAUUGAAAUUUGCCAUGUUUUCAGACCAACUGGAAGGAUUCCUCUUUUUCACAGAACUUUAACAUUUUCAUGGUAUAUUUAAUUCUUUGUUGGUGGAUUGUCACUUGGCAUCAUUUGAAUGGUGUGGUCCAUAUCAGCAGUGUUAUGAUGCAUAAUCAUGUAGAACUGCACAAUGAUGGGUUUGUAUAAACAAGCUUGAAAUAACAAACCAACAGUGUUUUUGGUGUGGCUUACACAUACAACUCUACAACAUGUUGAUGUUAGCUAAAUUGUUAUUAAUCAAAGGACAAGGUAGUAUGAAAUGAAAUAUCUUCACUUGCAAGUUUGUGCAUAUGGAUUUGUUUGAGAUGACUCUUGAGGCAGGAAGCUUUUCCUGCUUUUUACGAAAAGGGACAUUGGGUGCCUUAAUUUCUAAUACCAACCAAGUGUCAUUGCAAAGAUAGGUAAAAGAUAUAUCAAUAUAGAUUAUUCUCUGAGUGAUGGUGACACAUGGUAAAAAGAGAGAGCAGUAUGAAUAUUUGCCGCAUCAUUUACUUCUUUUACUUAUAUCUUCAAGGUAUCUUAUUGACUUCUAUUAGUUUUAUUUGUGGAAAGAAUAUCUUGAGUGGGAGAAUUGGAUCACAAUUGA
Molecule: long non-coding RNA, 927 nt
Filed under: Daphnia magna
Lineage: Eukaryota; Metazoa; Arthropoda; Branchiopoda; Diplostraca; Daphniidae
Description: uncharacterized LOC116933171, transcript variant X3
Source: RNAcentral